CAGCAGUAGCCGCGGUAAUACAGAGGGUGCGAGCGUUAAUCGGAUUUACUGGGCGUAAAGCGUGCGUAGGCGGCUUCUUAAGUCGGAUGUGAAAUCCCUGAGCUUAACUUAGGAAUUGCAUUCGAUACUGGGAAGCUAGAGUAUGGGAGAGGAUGGUAGAAUUCCAGGUGUAGCGGUGAAAUGCGUAGAGAUCUGGAGGAAUACCGAUGGCGAAGGCAGCCAUCUGGCCUAAUACUGACGCUGAGGUACGAAAGCAUGGGGAGCAAACAGGAUUAGAUACCCGUGUAGUCCCUGUCUCUUAUAA
Molecule: ribosomal RNA, 304 nt
Filed under: uncultured bacterium
Lineage: Bacteria
Description: partial 16S ribosomal RNA
Rfam family: Bacterial small subunit ribosomal RNA
Source: RNAcentral